Molecule: long non-coding RNA, 630 nt
Organism: Drosophila simulans
Lineage: Eukaryota; Metazoa; Arthropoda; Insecta; Diptera; Drosophilidae
Exons: 2
Source: RefSeq, a predicted model, not a curated record
UAGCCUAAUUCAUCGCAGAGAAUGAUGACAAUAGCAUUUUCAGGUUCAGAACCUUCCAAGGAUUCCUUUAUAUGGACGACUUUAUUGUCAUUGGAUGUUCAGAGCAACACAUGACCAAAAACCUAAACAAUGUCUUCGAACUGUGUAGGAAAAAUAAUCUGAGCUUAACUUUUAUUCCAGUAACGUUUUCAAAAAAUAAUAUUAUUUUCCCGAUGUUCUUAUACUAAAGUUUGUUGUACAGAAUAUCGCCUUUCUCAACCAAUUUUAUAAGAAGUCUCUUUCUCAGGUUCCAAUGCGGAUGUAUUUUCGCUUUACCAAAACUUUCAUAGCCAUAAUCCUAUUGAUAGUCUUUCCAGUCUAUAUUCGGCUAGUAUUAAAUUAAAUAGGAGUAGGUUAUAUAGGUUACUUAUAUGGUCUUGCCAAAUAAAGCUGGAAAACCAUCGAUGGCACUAUCGAUACUAUCGAUGGUUUUAAGUUUUUUCAAACCAUCGAUGCUUUUCGAAAACAAUCGAACAAUCCGCACUGGAUUCAUUAACACUUUGAUACAGCGAGAGAGAUAUAUUAUAGAAAAGAAAUAACUAUUUGAGAAGAUUGGUGGUGUUGGAAGAGGUUGGAGAUGGAUAAAUUCUU